This 217-nucleotide long non-coding RNA is filed under the name Elaeis guineensis (African oil palm). Its description in RNAcentral is "long non-coding RNA (EGUI_LNC004903)". The record is from RNAcentral. Lineage: Eukaryota; Viridiplantae; Streptophyta; Magnoliopsida; Arecales; Arecaceae.
AUGGGCUUGCGUGGAAGAAGACUUCCGCUGGGAGUCUUCAACUAUUUUUUUUUCUUUUUGUUUUCUUUUUCAUGACCUAAGAUUCGUGUAAGGGGAUGGAAUUUUAGGGCUGGAUAUCACAUUCUACCUUCUUUGAAAAUAGUUUCAUCCUUGAAACUUGAUAUAACUUCAUUUUCAAAUAAGUGAAGAUACUUUAUCUUCAUAUUAUUUUUAUUAU